UACAGAGGUCUCAAGCGUUGUUCGGAUUCAUUGGGCGUAAAGGGUGCGUAGGUGGCGGGGUUAGUCAGGUGUGAAAUCUCGGAGCUCAACUCCGAAACUGCACUUGAUACUGCCUUGCUUGAGUACUGGAGAGGAGAUUGGAAUUUACGGUGUAGCAGUGAAAUGCGUAGAUAUCGUAAGGAAGACCAGUGGCGAAGGCGAAUCUCUGGACAGUUACUGACACUUAGGCACGAAGGCCAGGGGAGCAAACGGG
This 253-nucleotide ribosomal RNA is filed under the name uncultured bacterium. RNAcentral's name for it is "partial 16S ribosomal RNA". It matches the Rfam family "Bacterial small subunit ribosomal RNA", at positions 524 to 776 of the family's 1533-position model. The record is from RNAcentral.